AUGCUAAGAAUGAGAAUAUUGUCCAUUAACUACCAAGCAACGGAGUUGCUAGGAGUAUUGAUUUCGCACAUCACAAUUCAUUUGUCGGUAUUCCGGUUGCAUCAACAUGAGGGCCGAGGAAUGACAAUGAUGGCAGGAAGUAUCACGGUACCAAGAGUUCAUAGGAUGGUGUGCAAUUCCUACAACAAUCUCGAUAUAAAAUAUGUAAUACUCCAAGGUAGAGCAGAACAAAAGCUGGACUGGCAUUUUGAUCUGCGGAGCACAACUUCUUUGACCCAAUCCUGGAUAGGGAAGAGGUACUGGAGUUUAUUUCUCCUAGUCAUUCUGCUAUAG
This 333-nucleotide ribosomal RNA is filed under the name Triticum aestivum (bread wheat). Its description in RNAcentral is "partial small subunit ribosomal RNA". Lineage: Eukaryota; Viridiplantae; Streptophyta; Magnoliopsida; Poales; Poaceae. The record is from RNAcentral.